This 253-nucleotide ribosomal RNA is filed under the name uncultured bacterium. Its description in RNAcentral is "partial 16S ribosomal RNA". It matches the Rfam family "Bacterial small subunit ribosomal RNA", at positions 524 to 776 of the family's 1533-position model. The record is from RNAcentral.
UACGAAGGGGGCUAGCGUUGCUCGGAAUUACUGGGCGUAAAGGGCGCGUAGGCGGAUAGUUUAGUCAGAGGUGAAAGCCCAGGGCUCAACCCUGGAAUUGCCUUUGAUACUGGCUAUCUUGAGUUCGGGAGAGGUGAGUGGAACUCCGAGUGUAGAGGUGAAAUUCGUAGAUAUUGGGAAGAACACCGGUGGCGAAGGCGGCUCUCUGGACCGAUACUGACGCUGAGGCGCGAAAGCGUGGGGAGCAAACAGG